GGGGCUGUAACUCGGUGGUAGAGUGCUUAUCUCACACAUGUGAAGUACUGGGUUCAAUCCUCAGCACCACA
RNAcentral lists this transfer RNA (71 nucleotides) under Marmota monax (woodchuck). RNAcentral's name for it is "tRNA.Val". Lineage: Eukaryota; Metazoa; Chordata; Mammalia; Rodentia; Sciuridae. The record is from RNAcentral.